GGGAUUGCCUCAGUAACGGCGAGUGAAGCGGCAAAAGCUCAAAUUUUAAAGCUGGCAUCUUCGGUGUCCGCGUUGUAAUUUUGUGAGGCAUCUCCGGGUAGGGCGCCGGCCUAAGUUCCUUGGAACAGGACGUCACAGAGGGUGAGAAUCCCGUGCUUGGCUGGCUGUCCCCGUCCAUGUGAGGUGUCUUCGACGAGUCGAGUUGUUUGGGAAUGCAGCUCAAAAUGGGUGGUAAAUUUCAUCUAAAGCUAAAUAUUGGUGGGAGACCGAUAGCGCACAAGUAGAGUGAUCGAAAGAUGAAAAGCACUUUGAAAAUAGAGUUAAAAAGUACGUGAAAUUGUUGAAAGGGAAGCGCUUGAGACCAGACUUCGGUAGGGGGUGAUCAGCCGUGCUUCGGUGCGGUGCACUUGUUCCUCUCUGGGCCAGCAUCGGUUGAGGCGGCGGGAUAAAGGUCCCGGGAAUGUGGCUCCUUCACGGGAGUGUUAUAGCCCGGGUGAAUGCCGCCAGCUUCGACCGAGGACCGCGCCCGCAAGGGUUAGGAUGCUUGGCAUAAUGGUCUUCAGCGACCCGUCUUGAAACACGGACCAAGGAGUCUAACAUCUAUGCGAGUGUUUGGGUGUCAAACCCUUGCGCGAAAUAAAAGUGAACGGAGGUGGGAACCCGCAAGGGCGCACCAUCGACCGGUCCUGAAGUCUUCUGAAGGAUCUGAGUAGGAGCAUAGCUGUUGGGACCCGAAAGAUGGUGAACUAUGCCUGAAUAGGGUGAAGCCAGAGGAAACUCUGGUGGAGGCUCGCAGCGGUUCUGACGUGCAAAUCGAUCGUCAAAUUUGGGUAUAGGGGCGAAAGACUAAUCGAACCAUCUAGUAGCUGGUUCCUGCCGAAUCCC
RNAcentral lists this ribosomal RNA (885 nucleotides) under Morchella sextelata. RNAcentral describes it as "partial 28S ribosomal RNA". It matches the Rfam family "Eukaryotic large subunit ribosomal RNA", at positions 71 to 969 of the family's 3401-position model. The record is from RNAcentral. Lineage: Eukaryota; Fungi; Ascomycota; Pezizomycetes; Pezizales; Morchellaceae.